This 683-nucleotide ribosomal RNA is filed under the name uncultured soil bacterium. RNAcentral's name for it is "bacterial SSU rRNA". It matches the Rfam family "Bacterial small subunit ribosomal RNA", at positions 9 to 664 of the family's 1533-position model. The record is from RNAcentral.
GAGUUUGAUCCUGGCUCAGAACGAACGCUGGCGGCGUGGAUAAGACAUGCAAGUCGAACGCUUGUUAGAGGGUAGCAAUAUUCUGUAGCAGGAGUGGCGGAAGGGUGCGUAACAUGUGGGUAAUCUGCCGUGAAGGCUGGGAUAACUUGCUGAAAGGCGAGCUAAUACCGGAUGAGAUAACCGAGAGGCAGCUUUUGGUUAUGAAAGUUGGGGACUGUAAAAGGCCUGACGCUUCACGAUGAGCCCGCAACCUAUCAGCUAGUUGGUGAGGUAACGGCUCACCAAGGCUAGGACGGGUAGCUGGUCUGAGAGGACGACCAGCCACACUGGAACUGAGAGACGGUCCAGACACCUACGGGUGGCAGCAGUCGAGAAUUUUUCACAAUGGGCGCAAGCCUGAUGGAGCGACGCCGCGUGGGGGAUGAAGGGCUUCGGACCGUAAACCCCUGUCAUUUGCGAACAAAGCUGCUGGCCUAAUAUGCCGGUAGUUGAUAGUAGCAAAAGAGGAAGGGACGGCUAACUCUGUGCCAGCAGCCGCGGUAAUACAGAGGUCCCGAGCGUUGUUCGGAUUUACUGGGCGUAAAGGGUGCGUAGGUGGCGGGGUAAGUCUGGUGUGAAAGCUCCGAGCUCAACUCGGAAAAGCAUCGGAAACUAUCCCGCUGGAGGGUCGGAGGGGAGACUGG